This 740-nucleotide ribosomal RNA is filed under the name uncultured bacterium. RNAcentral's name for it is "bacterial SSU rRNA". It matches the Rfam family "Bacterial small subunit ribosomal RNA", at positions 8 to 796 of the family's 1533-position model. The record is from RNAcentral.
AGAGUUUGAUCAUGGCUCAGAACGAACGCUGGCGGCAGGCCUAACACAUGCAAGUCGAACGCACCUUCGGGUGAGUGGCAGACGGGUGAGUAACGCGUGGGAACGUGCCUUUCGGUUCGGAAUAACCCAGGGAAACUUGGGCUAAUACCGGAUACGCCCUUCGGGGGAAAGAUUUAUUGCCGAAAGAUCGGCCCGCGUCGGAUUAGCUUGUUGGUGGGGUAAUGGCCUACCAAGGCAACGAUCCGUAGCUGGUCUGAGAGGAUGACCAGCCACACUGGGACUGAGACACGGCCCAGACUCCUACGGGAGGCAGCAGUGGGGAAUAUUGGACAAUGGGCGAAAGCCUGAUCCAGCCAUGCCGCGUGGGUGAAGAAGGCCUUAGGGUUGUAAAUCCCUUUCAGCGGGGAAGAUAAUGACGGUACCCGCAGAAGAAGCCCCGGCUAACUCCGUGCCAGCAGCCGCGGUAAUACGGAGGGGGCUAGCGUUGUUCGGAAUUACUGGGCGUAAAGCGCGCGUAGGCGGACCUUCAAGUCAGGGGUGAAAUCCCGAGGCUCAACCUCGGAACUGCCUUUGAUACUGUUGGUCUUGAGUCCGGGAGAGGUGAGCGGAAUUCCUAGUGUAGAGGCGAAAUUCGUAGAUAUUAGGAAGAACACCAGUGGCGAAGGCGGCUCACUGGCCCGGUACUGACGCUGAGGCGCGAAAGCGUGGGGAGCAAACAGGAUUAGAUACCCUAGUAGUCC